This 253-nucleotide ribosomal RNA is filed under the name uncultured bacterium. RNAcentral describes it as "partial 16S ribosomal RNA". It matches the Rfam family "Bacterial small subunit ribosomal RNA", at positions 524 to 776 of the family's 1533-position model. The record is from RNAcentral.
UACGUAGGGGGCAAGCGUUGUCCGGAAUCAUUGGGCGUAAAGAGCGUGUAGGCGGCCCGAUAAGUCCGCUGUGAAAGUCCAGGGCUCAACCCUGGGAUGCCGGUGGAUACUGUCGGGCUCGAGUCCGGAAGAGGAGUGUGGAAUUCCUGGUGUAGCGGUGAAAUGCGCAGAUAUCAGGAGGAACACCAGUGGCGAAGGCAGCACUCUGGGACGUGACUGACGCUGAGACGCGAAAGCGUGGGGAGCAAACAGG